ACUCCUACGGGAGGCAGCAGUGAGGAAUAUUGGUCAAUGGAGGGAACUCUGAACCAGCCAUCCCGCGUGUAGGAAGACGGCCUUAUGGGUUGUAAACUACUUUUAUACAGGAAGAAACGUACCCUCGUGAGGGUGCCUGACGGUACUGUAGGAAUAAGCACCGGCUAACUCCGUGCCAGCAGCCGCGGUAAUACGGAGGGUGCGAGCGUUAUCCGGAUUUAUUGGGUUUAAAGGGUCCGUAGGCGGAUUAAUAAGUCAGUGGUGAAAUCCCAUCGCUUAACGAUGGAACUGCCAUUGAUACUGUUAGUCUUGAAUGAGGGUGCAGUGGUUGGAAUGUGUAGUGUAGCGGUGAAAUGCAUAGAUAUUACACAGAACACCGAUUGCGAAGGCAGAUCACUAACCCUAAAUUGACGCUGAGGGACGAAAGCGUGGGGAGCGAACAGGAUUAGAUACCCUGGUAGCACAGAG
RNAcentral lists this ribosomal RNA (468 nucleotides) under uncultured bacterium. RNAcentral's name for it is "bacterial SSU rRNA". It matches the Rfam family "Bacterial small subunit ribosomal RNA", at positions 335 to 799 of the family's 1533-position model. The record is from RNAcentral.